AAGGAUUGAACAAAAGCAUUUGGGAUCCUGGUGAUCAAAUGUGUCUUGGUCUUUCCUACAGAGCUUAUGGACAUGUGGCUGUUACUGGGCGAGCACAGACAGACCACUGCAGACUGUUCGGACAGGAGGCGAGCAUGGGUCAGCAGCUCCCUGCCAAGGCUUUACAAGAAAGGCAGAAAGGGAUGGCAGAGCUUCGGAGCACGGCUGGACCCACAGAAACGACACGCCGCCGAGCUGAGAGCCCUAUAGGUGCCGUUUGCCUCGACACUUCGUCGCAAAGCAACUGAAGCUGGCCAUGUCCUAAAAGGCGGUGAGGGUGUUUGAAGAUGCCAACUACUGACAACGAGAUCAGAAAUUUCAUUUUGAACGUGCCCGAAAGGCCCGCUGUUUAGCCAGUGAAUCUCACCAGACGUGAGGGCACGGAGAUGCCUGGAAGGAGAUGGAGAUGAUGGAGAGACGGGGUGGCCAGGGAGACCUUCACUGUCCUUGCGCCACCUUUGAGGGUAGCCAGGGGGAUGAUUGCUGCCCCGGGGCACCUCCACACUCGUGUUGCAGGUCUGAAGGUGCCUCCGCCUGGAAGUAGCCCCUGGUGCAGCGCACCGCUAAUGGCCAGGGCACCUUGCGGACCACUUUGUUCUCCUCUCGGUGCAAGCCCCUGUCUCCCGUCCGUACUCCCUGGGC
This 681-nucleotide long non-coding RNA is filed under the name Struthio camelus australis. RNAcentral describes it as "lncRNA (ENSSCUG00000003035.1)". The record is from RNAcentral. Lineage: Eukaryota; Metazoa; Chordata; Aves; Struthioniformes; Struthionidae.